Molecule: long non-coding RNA, 624 nt
Organism: Meriones unguiculatus (Mongolian gerbil)
Lineage: Eukaryota; Metazoa; Chordata; Mammalia; Rodentia; Muridae
Exons: 3
Source: RefSeq, a predicted model, not a curated record
CCCACCAUCAUUAGAUGUUCUUAAUUCGUCUCCCAAAACUACAAAAGUAAUAGAUGUGAGACAGAGAAAAGAGGUACACCUGUCCCUGUGCUGGGGUGCCUGGCAGAUAUUAAACAGGGCUUGAAGUACAUCAUUCCAUGCUGUCUUGCACAUAGUGUUCUGGAUGUGAGAACUGAUGACAUACUGUGGUUGUUUCUCUUUGAUAUCAAUAACUGAAAAUGAGAAGAUAAUGGGAAAAGACAGAAAGCGGGAGAUUGUGAAUAAGAAGACUAUAUGGAUUAGAUGCAUGAAGAGUACUAAAAAAACGUACAGGCAGUGCAGAGAAGGUACAGUUGUAAAACACUUAGGUAGAAUAUAAGCAAAACAAACUAAACAAUUAAAAUGUAAAUAACACAUGAAGCAAAACCAUAAUCUCAGAAUUGCUUCCCAGUUGGAAUCCAAAUAGGCAAACUCUAUUUAAUAUUAAAUAUUAAAACUGUUAACAGAAACCCUAGAAAUUAGAAACCAAGAGUUUCAUUAGACUGUAAACCAGACCUACAAAAGUCCUCUAUCAAUUCAGAAACAAGCAACUGGAAAUGGAUGUGAAAAAGCCACAGUGAGAGCCCAGGCGAAGGAUACGCCAAG